RNAcentral lists this transfer RNA (65 nucleotides) under Dipodomys ordii (Ord's kangaroo rat). It matches the Rfam family "tRNA". From Rfam's summary of the family: Transfer RNA (tRNA) molecules are approximately 80 nucleotides in length. Their secondary structure includes four short double-helical elements and three loops (D, anti-codon, and T loops). Lineage: Eukaryota; Metazoa; Chordata; Mammalia; Rodentia; Heteromyidae. The record is from Rfam by way of RNAcentral.
GGUGGCUCAAUGGUAGAGUACUUGCCUUGCAUGCAUAAGGCUUUGGGUUCAAUUCCUCAGCACCA